CCUACGGGGGGCAGCAGUGAGGAAUAUUGGUCAAUGGGAGAGAUCCUGAACCAGCCAAGCCGCGUGAGGGAAGAAGGCUCUCCGGGUUGUAAACCUCUUUUGUCGGAGAACAAAACCCGGGACGAGUCCCGGACUGCGUGUAUCCGAAGAAAAAGCAUCGGCUAACUUCGUGCCAGCAGCCGCGGUAAUACGGAGGAUGCGAGCGUUAUCCGGAUUUAUUGGGUUUAAAGGGUGCGUAGGCGGUCUGUUAAGUCAGCGGUAAAAGUGCGGGGCUCAACCCCGGCGAGCCGUGGAAACUGGCGGACUUGAGUUGGCGAGAAGUACGCGGAAUGCGCGGUGUAGCGGUGAAAUGCAUAGAUAUCGCGCAGAACUCCGAUUGCGAAGGCAGCGUACCGGCGCCAGACUGACGCUGAGGCACGAAAGCGUGGGGAUCGAACAGGAUUAGAUACCCGAGUAGUC
RNAcentral lists this ribosomal RNA (459 nucleotides) under uncultured bacterium. RNAcentral's name for it is "partial 16S ribosomal RNA". It matches the Rfam family "Bacterial small subunit ribosomal RNA", at positions 338 to 795 of the family's 1533-position model. The record is from RNAcentral.